This 1492-nucleotide long non-coding RNA is filed under the name Arachis ipaensis. Its description in RNAcentral is "long non-coding RNA (AIPA_LNC001939)". The record is from RNAcentral. Lineage: Eukaryota; Viridiplantae; Streptophyta; Magnoliopsida; Fabales; Fabaceae.
ACCUCCCUGCACUCAAAUUGGAUUUUCUGGAGCUACAGAACUCGAAAUGGCAUGCUUCCAAUUGCAUUGGAAAGUAGACAUCCAGGGCUUUCCAUAAAUAUAUAAUAGUCCAUACUUUGCACAAGGAUAGACGACGUAAACUGGCGUUUAACGCCAGUUCUCUGCCCAAUUCUGGCGUCCAGCGCCAGAAAAGGAUAAAAAACUGGAGUUGAACGCCCAAACUGGCACAAAAACUGGCGUUCAACUCCACAAAUGGCCUCUGCACGUGAAUUGCUUAAAGUCUCAGCCCCAGCACACACCAAGUGGGCCCCAGCACACCAAGUGGGCCCCAGAAGUGGAUCUCUGCAUCAUCCAUCAUAGUCCACUCAUAUUUUGUAACCCUAGGCUACUGGUUUAGUAUUUAAACAACUUUUAGAGACUUAUUUUGUAUCUCAUGACAUUUUCAGAUCAAAACUUUGUAUUCUCUGACGGCAUGAGUCUCUAAACCCCAUUGUUGGGGGUGAGGAGCUNNNNNNNNNNNNNNNNNNNNNNNNNGGGGACGUGCGUGCGUGAACAAGAAGACAGAGGAAAGCAGAGAUUCAGAAGACAAAGCAUCUCCAAAACUCCAACAUAUUCUCCAUUACUGCACGACAAGUAAUUUUUAAUUCAUGCUCUACUGGUUACUCACAAUUCAAUUGAUAAACAUAAUUGACUUCCUGACUAAGAUUUAUAAGAUAACCAUAGAUUGCUUCAAACUAACAAUCUCCGUGGGAUUCGACCCUUACUCACGUAAGGAAUCACUCUGAGCUUCAAUGGAUAAAGUGAGAUGCCGAAACUGUUCAGAAGCAAAAAGCUACUAGUCCCGCUAAUCUAAUUAGGAUCUGAGCUUCAAUCAAAAACUCUGAGAUAUUAUUGCUUCUCAACCUAUUAGUCUUCUAUUUUAUUUGUCUAGUUGCUUGAGGACAAGCAACAGUUUGAGUUUGGUGUUGUGAUGAGCGGAUAUUUUAUACGCUUUUUGGGGAUAAUUUCAUAUAGUUUUGAGUAUGUUCUAGUUAGUUUUUAGUUUAUUUCCAGUAGUUUUUAGGAAAAAUUCAUAUUUCUGGACUUUACUAUGAGUUGGGUGUUUUUUUGUAAUUUCAGGUAUUUUUCUGGCUGAAAUUGAAGGAGCUGAGCAAAAAUCUGAUUCAGGCUGAAAAAGGACUGCUGAUGCUGCUGGAUUCUGACCUCCCUGCACUCAAAUUGGAUUUUCUGGAGCUACAGAACUCGAAAUGGCAUGCUUCCAAUUGCAUUGAAAAGUAGACAUCCAGGGCUUUCCAGAAAUAUAUAAUAGUCCAUACUUUGCACAAGGAUAGACGACGUAAACUGGCGUUCAACGCCAGUCCUCUGCCCAAUUCUGGCGUCCAGCGCCAGAAAAGGAUAAAAAACUGGAGUUGAACGCCCAAACUGGCACAAAAACUGGCGUUCAACUCCACAAAUGGCCUCUGCACGUGAAUUGCUUAAAGUCUCAGCCCCA